RNAcentral lists this non-coding RNA (24 nucleotides) under Arabidopsis thaliana (thale cress). Lineage: Eukaryota; Viridiplantae; Streptophyta; Magnoliopsida; Brassicales; Brassicaceae. The record is from RNAcentral.
UUUGGUUGAACUUGUAGAGUCAAA